GAUUAAAGAAAAGCAAGCUUCCU
Molecule: microRNA, 23 nt
Filed under: Ananas comosus (pineapple)
Lineage: Eukaryota; Viridiplantae; Streptophyta; Magnoliopsida; Poales; Bromeliaceae
Description: microRNA s1137_c006b
Source: RNAcentral